UGUCCCUCCAAGUGCAUUUUGAAGGAUAGAUUUCCCCAGCAGACGCACGUCUGUGUCUGCAGAAAUGUCCCUGCGGGGGAAUGUCACCUGCACGUUCUUGGCCUGUUCCUGCAGUGACUUUAUCCCCUCCACUGGGGGACACGCAGACCCGACUUCUGUCUCCUGUGCCCCCACCCCAAAACAGAAGCGGGAGUUUCCCGGAUUUGAGCUGAAUUUGGUGAUCUGCAGCAGAACGUGUGCUGGUGAGAAAGGGGCCCUGGGUGUCCCCUGGGAAGUGCUGCGGGAAGCUGGAGCACCGAUCCCCUGGUGUGCUUCAGAUGUGGAGGGAUGCUUUGAUUCCUUGGAUCAGUAAUACUGGGGAGCAUUGCAGGCUUGAAGAACACGAGACCUGGAGCAGAAAGGGGAAGAACAACUUUGUUGUCCUGACCCGUUCUGCUACCUCUGCUUCUCCCUGGAGCACCCCAAAACUCCUGAUUCUUACACAGCUGAGGCAGCAAGCUUCAGGCCCCAAGCCCUGGUCCAGGGAGGAAAUGUUCCUUUCCCCUGGGCUGAGAGGAGAAGCUGGAGGCUGCUUGCUCUGUGCUCAAGGCCAGGUCACUCGCUCUCCAUGUGGAGGAUGA
RNAcentral lists this long non-coding RNA (620 nucleotides) under Cyanistes caeruleus (blue tit). RNAcentral's name for it is "lncRNA (ENSCCEG00000017636.1)". Lineage: Eukaryota; Metazoa; Chordata; Aves; Passeriformes; Paridae. The record is from RNAcentral.